CGACGCUCUUGCUGUGCCCAGUUCUCAAAAGUAGAAGGGGAUCUCAGCACACCAUGGCAUGGUUCUGAUCUGGGCUCCCUUCUAGAUUGGAAUCGCAACUUGCAUUAUCGGGAUGUCCUGCUGGAUGACGGCUUGAAACACUUGAGAAGUGCUGGAGUUACAGGUGUGUCUACAGGGAGGACUUUCCCAGCUCCUGAGCUGGCUGGUGCACACCAGCCCGGCUCCCAUCGCAGGGGUACUCCGAGAGGAAAGAACACAGCUACAGGACACCGGAAGCCCCAUGAGCCAUCCAAAAUCAGUCAGCAAAUGCCGAAGGAAAUGCUGCAGGGAGGGCAAGAAGUGGACAGAGCGGCUGUGCUGAAGGCAGCAUUUCCCAGAGGAAGCAGUGGCUCAUGGGCAGCCUCUGCUGCAGGAAGGGAGGCCA
Non-coding RNA from Cyanistes caeruleus (blue tit), 424 nucleotides. The record is from RefSeq and is a predicted model, not a curated record. Lineage: Eukaryota; Metazoa; Chordata; Aves; Passeriformes; Paridae.